GGUCCCUCAGCCCCUCAGUGCCCUCCCGGAGCCCUUUACCUGAAAGGGACCCUGAGAGAACGGACGACAGGAGCCGAGUCGAAAGCAGUGUCCGCGCCGGAGGUCAGCGCCGAAGGCGGGCCCCGGCGUCUAGGGACCACAGAGCGGCGACGCGGCCAGCCGCGCACGGGCCAUUCCGCCGCCGCGAACGCAGAAAGCCUCGAUCGCGCUCCGAGUCCAGCCAGCUCGCCUGUCACCUCGAUCUCUGCUUUAAGUGGCUUCCGGUCGCCUCCUCCCGACGGCCGGUCGCGGAGGCGGAGCCUAGGAGGCCGGAGCGCGGUGGGGUGGGGUGAGGAGGCCGGGCGCUCAGUGGGUGCCGAGAAGAAGACCCGCCCCCUGCGCGCGCGUGCGCGUUCGUUCCAGGGGAGGUGCGCGGGUUGUGUGCCGUGGACUUGUAUUCCCGCGAGGGGGCGUGUCCUUUCUCGCGCCGGCGGUGUCCCCGCGGGUCCGCGUCUCCACGCGGCUGUGAGAAAGGAAGGCGUGUGCCGCGUGGGACGGGUUCCACCUGCCUGCGGACAGAUGACGCCUCCAGCCCCUGAUGUCGACGCACCCUGUGAGGAAGCAAACGGUUGCCUCCGCCACUGCCACCAGACGAGGUCGCCUGCCCCGCGCGGGACAAGCCGGACGGGCCGCGCACCUGCGGCGGCCGACUGUUUCGUGGGCCUUGUACGCCACCUUGCAGAAGGGGAACCUAGCUCUCAGAAUAAUAACAGGAUGGAGAUGGAGUUUCAUGACAAAAAGGAAGGUGAAUAUGAUGUGGAAAAUAUAAAGAUGGAAACAACAAACUAAGGAUGCUGGGGCAGAAAGAUAGAAGGAAACUGGGUCACUCAUAACAUCUUGAAACUGCUGUAGCCAUCCUAGACUGGCUGCCUCUAGACUUAAUAUGUUUAAAAAGUAAAUCCCAAUUUUAUUAAACUGUUACCUGUUCUGUAUAGAUGAACACAUUCUUAGCUAAUAAACUAUCAUGUCUCCUAACUAGUCGUCUUCUA
Piliocolobus tephrosceles (Ugandan red Colobus) is the source of this 1028-nucleotide long non-coding RNA. The record is from Ensembl. NCBI's taxonomy places the organism in Eukaryota, Metazoa, Chordata, Mammalia, Primates, Cercopithecidae.